ACUCCUACGGGAGGCAGCAGUGGGGAAUUUUGCGCAAUGGGGGACAAGCCUGACGCAGCGACGCCGCGUGAGUGAUGAAGGCCUUCGGGUCGUAAAGCUCUGUCCUGGGGGAAGAAAUGGCGGUGGCUAAUAUCCAGGGCGCUUGACGGUACCUGCCAAGGAAGCCCCGGAUACAUCCGUGCCAGCAGCCGCGGUAAUAC
This 200-nucleotide ribosomal RNA is filed under the name uncultured bacterium. Its description in RNAcentral is "partial 16S ribosomal RNA". It matches the Rfam family "Bacterial small subunit ribosomal RNA", at positions 335 to 526 of the family's 1533-position model. The record is from RNAcentral.